This 413-nucleotide ribosomal RNA is filed under the name uncultured bacterium. RNAcentral's name for it is "bacterial SSU rRNA". It matches the Rfam family "Bacterial small subunit ribosomal RNA", at positions 506 to 917 of the family's 1533-position model. The record is from RNAcentral.
UGCCAGCAGCCGCGGUAAUACGGGGGGGGCAAGCGUUGUUCGGAAUUACUGGGCGUAAAGGGCUCGUAGGUGGCCAACUAAGUCAGACGUGAAAUCCCCAGGCUUAACCUGGGAACUGCGUCUGAUACUGGAUGGCUUGAAUUCGGGAGAGGGAUGCAGAAUUCCAGGUGUAGCGGUGAAAUGCGUAGAUAUCUGGAGGAAUACCGGUGGCGAAGGCGGCAUCCUGGACCGAGAUUGACACUGAGGAGCGAAAGCCAGGGGAGCAAACGGGAUUAGAUACCCCGGUAGUCCUGGCCCUAAACGAUGAAUGCUUGGUGUGACGGGUAUCGAUCCCUGUCGUGCCGAAGCUAACGCAUUAAGCAUUCCGCCUGGGGAGUACGGUCGCAAGGCUGAAACUUAAAGGAAUUGACGGC